AGCCGCAUAGCUCAGGGCAGAGCACCGUCUUGAUAAGGCGGGGGUCGAUGGAUCGUUCCCAUCUGUGGCUA
RNAcentral lists this transfer RNA (71 nucleotides) under Variovorax sp. WDL1. RNAcentral's name for it is "tRNA-Ile". It matches the Rfam family "tRNA". From Rfam's summary of the family: Transfer RNA (tRNA) molecules are approximately 80 nucleotides in length. Their secondary structure includes four short double-helical elements and three loops (D, anti-codon, and T loops). Further hydrogen bonds mediate the characteristic L-shaped molecular structure. tRNAs have two regions of fundamental functional importance: the anti-codon, which is responsible for specific mRNA codon recognition, and the 3' end, to which the tRNAs corresponding amino acid is attached (by aminoacyl-tRNA synthetases). tRNAs cope with the degeneracy of the genetic code in two manners: having more than one tRNA (with a specific anti-codon) for a particular amino acid; and 'wobble' base-pairing, i.e. permitting non-standard base-pairing at the 3rd anti-codon position. Lineage: Bacteria; Pseudomonadati; Pseudomonadota; Betaproteobacteria; Burkholderiales; Comamonadaceae. The record is from RNAcentral.